This is a long non-coding RNA of Prosopis cineraria, 1138 nucleotides long. RefSeq lists it as uncharacterized. The transcript is spliced from 2 exons. Lineage: Eukaryota; Viridiplantae; Streptophyta; Magnoliopsida; Fabales; Fabaceae. The record is from RefSeq and is a predicted model, not a curated record.
GAGCUUUUACACUAAACUUGAGUGAGUUACAAAUGAGGGAUGAGGGGGUAUUUAUAGGCCUCCCCCUUUCUCUAGAAAAUUCCCACCUCCUUAAUGGACGGUUGGGAUUGAUUUGAUCUAACGGUGUACAUUCUAUCUCUAGAUAAUUCUAUAGAAAUAUCUACAAGAAAUAUCUUGAUAAUUACAAGGAGACUACUAGAAUGUAUAAGAGCAAGAUAUCUCUAGAAUGAUCUGGAUGCUUCAAGUGCUUUCUACACUACUCUAGAGAUAUCUAGGUCUUUCGAGGUCAUACCGACGUAUUCCAGAAGACUCCGGGGCCUUCUUGAUUGUCCUGGAUCGUUCCGGAAACUUCUAGAAUAUCUUAACCUCAUGAAAAUUCUAUCUUCGUCACAUGCUUAAGCUAUCUUGAAGGAGAAAAUGAUGAUUGGCUCAAGGGAAGGAGAGGUAAAGAACAGAAGAUAGAUACUUGAGAGUCAAGAGAGAAUUUCUCUAAUUAGAGAUCCAUCCAUGCAGGUUGUAAGGGUUCUGGAAGAGAGAAAGAGUCGCUGUCAAGCAUAAGCAAAACCGAAGCCAUGGUUGGUCUAUCAGCAGCCCUUUCUUGAACACACAGCAAGCCAAUGUGAACGCAUCUCAUUAUUUCACUUCUUGAACUGUCAGAUAAUGUGGGAUCUACAAUAUUAGAUGAUGUCCCUCUCCUCCAGCUUUUCCAUGCCUGCAAGAAGUGGUACAAUUACAGAAAAUUUGAAGUAAUCUAAUAUGGUAAAAGAAAAUGAGAUAAAUAAUGAAAAGAAGGAAAACAUACAAAGCUUGGAAGGUGCUCAAUACUCUCCCCAUCAUGGAUGCGACCAUUCUUUUGCCCUCUUACAAUUUCUAGAAUUAAUACACCAAAACUAAAUAUAUCAGAUUUUACAGAGAAUCGUCCAUGCUUUGCAUACUCUGGUGCCAUAUAACCUCUGCACAUUAAAACACAAAUAUAUUCAAGCGCAUGCUCACUUCUUUUGUUAGUUAUAGAGAUAGAGAGUGUUUAGACAGCAAGUAGCCUUAUCAUAUUGUUAAACUUACAAAGUUCCCACAAUUCGAUUUGUCUUGGCUUGAGACUCAUCAAUGGAAAAUAAUUUUGCCAUUCCAAAAUCUGAUA